GGAUAACCUACCCUUAGGACCGGGAUAACCUUGGGAAACUGAGGACAAUACUGGAUAGGCAAUUUUUCCUGUAAUGGUUUUUUGUUUAAAUGUUUUUUCGCCUAAGGAUGGGUCUGCGGCCGAUUAGGUAGUUGGUUAGGUAAUGGCUUACCAAGCCGUUGAUCGGUACGGGUUGUGAGAGCAAGAGCCCGGAGAUGGAACCUGAGACAAGGUUCCAGGCCCUACGGGGUGCAGCAGGCGCGAAACCUCCGCAAUGUGAGAAAUCGCGACGGGGGGAUCCCAAGUGCCAUUCUUAACGGGAUGGCUUUUCUUAGUGUAAAGAGCUUUUGGAAUAAGAGCUGGGCAAGACCGGUGCCAGCCGCCGCGGUAACACCGGCAGCUCUAGUGGUAGCAAUUUUUAUUGGGCCUAAAGCGUCCGUAGCCGGUUUAAUAAGUCUCUGGUGAAAUCCUGCAGCUUAACUGUGGGAAUUGCUGGAGAUACUAUUAGACUUGAGACCGGGAGAGGUUAGAGGUACUCCCAGGGUAGAGGUGAAAUUCUGUAAUCCUGGGAGGACCGCCUGUUGCGAAGGCGUCUAACUGGAACGGUUCUGACGGUGAGGGACGAAAGUUAGGGGCGCGAACCGGAUUAGAUACCCGGGUAGUCCUAACUGUAAACGAUGCGGACUUGGUGUUGGGGUGGCUUUGAGCUGCUCCAGUGCCGAAAGGGAAGCUGUUAAGUCCGCCGCCUGGGAAG
RNAcentral lists this ribosomal RNA (733 nucleotides) under uncultured archaeon. RNAcentral's name for it is "bacterial SSU rRNA". It matches the Rfam family "Archaeal small subunit ribosomal RNA", at positions 102 to 835 of the family's 1478-position model. The record is from RNAcentral.